RNAcentral lists this ribosomal RNA (251 nucleotides) under uncultured bacterium. Its description in RNAcentral is "partial 16S ribosomal RNA". It matches the Rfam family "Bacterial small subunit ribosomal RNA", at positions 524 to 776 of the family's 1533-position model. The record is from RNAcentral.
UACGUAGGUCCCGAGCGUUGUCCGGAUUUAUUGGGCGUAAAGCGAGCGCAGGGGUUUAUUAAGUCUGGUGUAAAAGGCAGUGGCUCAACCAUUGUAUGCAUUGGAAACUGGUAGACUUGAGUGCAGGAGAGGAGAGUGGAAUUCCAUGUGUAGCGGUGAAAUGCGUGGAUAUAUGGAGGAACACCGGUGGCGAAAGCGGCUCUCUGGUCUGUAACUGACGCUGAGGUUCGAAAGCGUGGGUAGCAAACAGG